GACGAACGCUGGCGGCGUGCCUAAUACAUGCAAGUCGAGCGGAACCAUUGGAGCUUGCUCCAUUUGGUUUAGCGGCGGACGGGUGAGUAACACGUGGGCAACCUGCCCUGCAGAUCGGGAUAACUCCGGGAAACCGGUGCUAAUACCGAAUAGUUUGCGGCCUCUCCUGAGGCUGCACGGAAAGACGGUUUCGGCUGUCACUGCAGGAUGGGCCCGCGGCGCAUUAGCUAGUUGGUGGGGUAAUGGCCCACCAAGGCGACGAUGCGUAGCCGACCUGAGAGGGUGAUCGGCCACACUGGGACUGAGACACGGCCCAGACUCCUACGGGAGGCAGCAGUAGGGAAUCUUCCGCAAUGGACGCAAGUCUGACGGAGCAACGCCGCGUGAGUGACGAAGGUUUUCGGAUCGUAAAAACUCUGUUGUGAGGGAAGAACACGUACCAGGUAACUACUGGUACCUUGACGGUACCUCACCAGAAAGCCACGGCUAACUACGUGCCAGCAG
Molecule: ribosomal RNA, 504 nt
Filed under: uncultured bacterium
Lineage: Bacteria
Description: bacterial SSU rRNA
Rfam family: Bacterial small subunit ribosomal RNA
Source: RNAcentral